Molecule: non-coding RNA, 125 nt
Organism: Hordeum vulgare subsp. vulgare (domesticated barley)
Lineage: Eukaryota; Viridiplantae; Streptophyta; Magnoliopsida; Poales; Poaceae
Source: Rfam
AUAAUACUCCCUCCGUACGGAAAUACUUGUCGAAAAAAUGGAUAUAUUUAGAUGUAUUCUAGUUCUAAAUACAUUCAUUUUUAUUUAUUUCCCUGACAAGUAUUCUUGGACAGAGGGAGUAACAA